UCAGAGGGGACGAACAGUUGGAGACGACUGCUAAUACCGCAUACGAUCCAAUCUCGGCAUCGAGGAUGGAUGAAAGGUGGCCUCUAUUUAUAAGCUAUCACUGAAGGAGGGGAUUGCGUCUGAUUAGCUAGUUGGAGGGGUAACGGCCCACCAAGGCGAUGAUCAGUAGCCGGACUGAGAGGUUGAACGGCCACAUUGGGACUGAGACACGGCCCAG
RNAcentral lists this ribosomal RNA (217 nucleotides) under uncultured bacterium. RNAcentral describes it as "partial 16S ribosomal RNA". It matches the Rfam family "Bacterial small subunit ribosomal RNA", at positions 133 to 334 of the family's 1533-position model. The record is from RNAcentral.